AGGGCGAACGCUGGCGGCGUGCUUAACACAUGCAAGUCGAGCGGAAAGGCCCUUCGGGGUACUCGAGCGGCGAACGGGUGAGUAACACGUGGGCAACCUGCCCCUAGCUCUGGGAUAACUCCGGGAAACCGGUGCUAAUACCGGAUAUGACCUCAAUUGGCAUCCUUUGAGGUGGAAAGAUUUAUUGGCUAGGGAUGGGCCCGCGGCCUAUCAGCUUGUUGGUGGGGUAAUGGCCUACCAAGGCGACGACGGGUA
RNAcentral lists this ribosomal RNA (255 nucleotides) under uncultured bacterium. RNAcentral's name for it is "partial small subunit ribosomal RNA". It matches the Rfam family "Bacterial small subunit ribosomal RNA", at positions 26 to 285 of the family's 1533-position model. The record is from RNAcentral.